This 445-nucleotide ribosomal RNA is filed under the name uncultured eukaryote. Its description in RNAcentral is "bacterial SSU rRNA". It matches the Rfam family "Eukaryotic small subunit ribosomal RNA", at positions 98 to 549 of the family's 1831-position model. The record is from RNAcentral.
UCAUUACAUGAAUCAUUACUUACCCGAACACCAACUCACAACUGGAUAACCGUUGUAAUUCAAGGGCUAAUCAUGUAUCAAGAAGCGUUUAGUAACAGACGCUUGCAUUUGUUAGUCUCAAACCAACAUUUACAUGUGGUGAAUCAUGACAAAUUGCGGAUCCUCAUGUUGCAAAAGACGGAGGACGACUCGGUCAGGUCUUUCCCCUAUCAGUUUUCGUAGGAAAUGUAUUGAAUUUUCUAGACUUUGACGGGUAGCGGAAAAUGAGGGUUUGAUUCCGGAGAAGGAGCCUGAGAGACGGCUACUACAUCUAAGGAAGGCAGCAGGCGCGCAAAUUUCCCAAUGCUCAUCGAGCGAGGAAGUGACGAUCAAUAACAAUGUGCGAUGUUUUAUGCAUUGUGCAAUUGGAAUGACUACAAUGUAGAGAGUUUAAGGAGGAUCAAUU